This is a long non-coding RNA of Magallana angulata, 1200 nucleotides long. RefSeq lists it as uncharacterized. Lineage: Eukaryota; Metazoa; Mollusca; Bivalvia; Ostreida; Ostreidae. The record is from RefSeq and is a predicted model, not a curated record. The transcript is spliced from 2 exons.
CAAGAGGUCGUGGACCCUACUCUAGUUCGUCAGCAUACUCAUCUGAUGCAAAAAACUACCAACGAAGAGGCCUGCAGAGUCACCUCCAGAAGUAGUUGAGAAGUCUCAUUGAACGUGUGGUGAGAAAGAUUUGUCAGGACCAGACAGAUUGCGUUCUUGUGACUCCAGUUUGGCCAACACAGCCAUGGUUCAACUGUGUACUAGAGAUAUUGGUGGAUCAUCCAUAAUUUUACCAGUGACAGACAAUCUGUUGACUCUUCCGGGCACAGAUGUGCAGCAACCUCUGAAGAACUCGUUAGUGCUGAUGGCAUGUUGAUUGUCCGGUUGCAGUUCCAAAAACGAGGAAUUUCUCGCCAAGCAGCCUCCAUCCUAUUGGGAUCAUGGAAGUCCGGAACCAAGAAACAAUAUAAAACGUUUUAUAAGAGAUGGUUUCAGUACUGUGGUGAAAAAUCGGUUGAUCCAUUUAGUACAACUAUAGAAACUGUUGUUGAAUUUUUAGCAUAUCUUUUUCACCAAGGUUUAGGUUAUAGUGCUAUUAAUAGAGCCCGAGGAGCUUUAUCUUCUGUUGGUUUGAUUUUUGAUGGUUUUUCUGUUGAAUGUCAUCCAUUGGUUAUAAGAUUUAUGAAAGGUGUUUUUGACCUGAGACCAUCAAAAUCAAGAUAUGUACAUACAUGGGAUGCAUCUAUUGUUUUAAUUAAAAGUACCUGAGAAAAUUGUCACCUGUUAAAUUUUUGAGUUUGAAAAACUUGACAUUGAAGUUAGUUAUGUUGAUUAGUUUAAUUUGUGCAAGUAGAGUACAAACUAUUUCAUGUAUGAAACUUAGUAAUAUGACAAAAAGGAAGAACAGUUUUGUCUUCACUUUUAGUGAACUUUUGAAAACAUGUAGACCUAACAGUAGCAUGUCUGACAUGGUUUUAAAAUCUUAUCCUCCAGAUAGGAGGCUUUGUGUUUACCUUGUUUUAUGUGAGUAUAUAUCUCGGACUGCAAGAAUAAGAAAGAAAUGUGAUUCAUUGUUCAUUAGUUAUACUGUUGAUACCACUAUUUUUAAGGCUCACAGUGUUCGAGCUGCUUCUGUGUCCAAAGCAAAAGGGAACUUUGUUCCUGUUGAUGAUAUUUUGACAAAAGUAGGAUGGUCCAAUGUUGAAACCUUCCGAAAGUUUUAUGAUAAACCUGUUGUCAAUAAUGACAAGUAUUCAAAUG